Molecule: non-coding RNA, 23 nt
Filed under: Cricetulus griseus (Chinese hamster)
Lineage: Eukaryota; Metazoa; Chordata; Mammalia; Rodentia; Cricetidae
Source: RNAcentral
ACUGAGGUGGAUCAAUGAUGAAA